Long non-coding RNA from Amphimedon queenslandica, 517 nucleotides. RefSeq lists it as uncharacterized. Lineage: Eukaryota; Metazoa; Porifera; Demospongiae; Haplosclerida; Niphatidae. The transcript has 3 exons. The record is from RefSeq and is a predicted model, not a curated record.
UCUGAAAGCCGUCAUUUAAAUUAUUUCAUUAUGACCAUACUUGCUUUCAAAAUGAAGAUUAGACUAUUUAGCUUUAAUUGUUAGAUAACCUGCCCGUACAGACUUUUUCUUGUCUUAGUGGGCUUCGCCCAAUUAUUGCUUAAAUGUAUCUGUAAUUUAGUGAACCCGAGACACAAGUAUUGGAUUAUCAAACUCAACAGUUUAAACUGUUUCCUGUAUUGGCCUCUGCUUAUGCUAUGAAGUUUGCUAACCAAUACUUGAUGAAACUUAACACUGAAGUGACUAAAGAAAUUAGACGGUGAAGGAAACUUAAAAUCUCUACCUGAGCUUCAUGCUACUAGUGCUGGUUUGAAAGCAUUUUGCAGUGAACUGUGCUGCAGUGCUAUUGAGUUGUGCAGAUUAAGCUGUGGUGGUCAUGGCUACUCAGCUGCCAGUGGUCUACCUCAACUUUAUGCUGAUUAUUCUCCUUCUCCAACAUAUGAAGGAGAGAAUACAGUUAUGCUACUGCAAACAGCAA